UAAUACGGAGGGUGCAAGCGUUAUCCGGAUUCACUGGGUUUAAAGGGUGCGUAGGUGGGCAGGUAAGUCAGUGGUGAAAUCUCCGGGCUUAACCCGGAAACUGCCGUUGAUACUAUCUGUCUUGAAUAUUGUGGAGGUAAGCGGAAUAUGUCAUGUAGCGGUGAAAUGCUUAGAUAUGACAUAGAACACCAAUUGCGAAGGCAGCUUACUACACAGUUAUUGACGCUGAGGCACGAAAGCGUGGGGAUCAAACAGGAUUAGAUACCCUGGUAGUCCACGCCCUAAACGAUGAUUACUCGACAUCAGCGAUACACUGUUGGUGUCUGAGCGAAAGCAUUAAGUAAUCCACCUGGGAAGUACGAUCGCAAGAUUG
RNAcentral lists this ribosomal RNA (373 nucleotides) under uncultured bacterium. Its description in RNAcentral is "bacterial SSU rRNA". It matches the Rfam family "Bacterial small subunit ribosomal RNA", at positions 521 to 896 of the family's 1533-position model. The record is from RNAcentral.